Molecule: small nuclear RNA, 189 nt
Filed under: Heterostelium album PN500
Lineage: Eukaryota; Evosea; Eumycetozoa; Acytosteliales; Acytosteliaceae
Description: Polysphondylium pallidum PN500 U2 spliceosomal RNA
Rfam family: U2 spliceosomal RNA
About the family: U2 is a small nuclear RNA (snRNA) component of the spliceosome (involved in pre-mRNA splicing). Complementary binding between U2 snRNA (in an area lying towards the 5' end but 3' to hairpin I) and the branchpoint sequence (BPS) of the intron results the bulging out of an unpaired adenosine, on the BPS, which initiates a nucleophilic attack at the intronic 5' splice site, thus starting the first of two transesterification reactions that mediate splicing.
Source: Rfam by way of RNAcentral
AUCACUUCUCAAAGCAAUUUGCUUUGAUCAUGUGUAGUAUCUGUUCUAGAAAGCUUAAUCUCUUUCUGCGGUCACACGUUGACCGCAUAAUUGAUUAAACUAAUUUAUCUAGAGGGACCGGAACACCAUGGUAUGGGCUUGCUCAUAUCGUUCUCAGUCAUGUAUUUGCACUGUAUUUGUACACACAAU